Folsomia candida is the source of this 858-nucleotide long non-coding RNA. RefSeq lists it as uncharacterized. The record is from RefSeq and is a predicted model, not a curated record. NCBI's taxonomy places the organism in Eukaryota, Metazoa, Arthropoda, Collembola, Entomobryomorpha, Isotomidae. The transcript has 3 exons.
UUGAAACUUAAUUUGGUUUUCACUGAACAGUCAUAAUCGGAUGCCGCCUGGAGUUUCCUCAGUUGUAUAACGAACGGAUAAACCCAGUCACCCGUAAAUACAUAUUUGGUUUACUAUUUUUACACGCAAGUUCAAGUUCAAGCCAACGCCACACGUAUUUUCCAGAGAAAACAGGCCGUGUUCUUAUCGUAAAUUGCGUUUACCAUUUAAAAGACCUGUGCUACAGUGAGUACAUUUCUGUAUAAUAUAUUACAAAUUCAAGACGUUGUAAUACAGUAUUUAGAUUCGGGAAGCCCCAGAAAAAUGUUCCGUCUGACAAAACAAGUUUGAAGUGAACUCAUCGUGCUAACCAUAAAUACGUGUUUAUCAGAAUUUAAGUAAGGUUUGAAUCCGUGAAUCCUUAUUAGUACAAUUUCUCUUCUGCAUUAUUUUGGUUUUAAGUUUAGCAUUUAGAUAUUUUCAUGAAGUGCAAAAGAGAAAGCAGGUAACAGAAAAACUAAUUAUGAUGUCACUGGUGUAGCAUGCUGAAUUUUUGACGUUUUUUGGUCAUGCAUAUGAGCGGUAGUCUAAUAUCUCGGAUUGUACAUGUUUCUUUUUAAAAUGUAUUGGCUAGAAUCAAGAUAAUUAAUUGUCACGACAACUAAACAUAGAUAUUAAUUCUCCUGUUUUAAUGUUUUCACAUGAGAAAGUGACCAUAUUUAAUUAUUGCAUAAUGGAACAAUUUCGGUACGUAAAACUUUAAUUUAAAAUGUCAGGUUAUUGAACUUAUAAAUGUGCGGUGUUGAAUCCGCACAUUAGGUACUUUAACCCAUCAAUUUAGAUUUCGUAAUAAAUGUACUUUCCGCAAUAAUAGAAUAA